This 340-nucleotide ribosomal RNA is filed under the name uncultured Chloroflexota bacterium. RNAcentral describes it as "bacterial SSU rRNA". It matches the Rfam family "Bacterial small subunit ribosomal RNA", at positions 1025 to 1382 of the family's 1533-position model. Lineage: Bacteria; Bacillati; Chloroflexota. The record is from RNAcentral.
GGAGCCUUCACAGGUGCUGCAUGGCUGUCGUCAGCUCGUGCCGUGAGGUGUUGGGUUAAGUCCCCCAACGAGCGUAACCCUCGUUGCCAGUUAUAUUCUCUGGCGAGACUGCCCCGCAAACGGGGAGGAAGGUGGGGAUGACGUCAAGUCAGCAUGGCCCUUAUGCCUUGGGCUACACACACGCUACAAUGGGUGGUACAAUGGGUUGCAAUGGAGCGAUUCGGAGCUAAUCCCCAAAACCAUCCUCAGUUCAGAUUGCAGGCUGAAACCCGCCUGCAUGAAGUCGGAGUUGCUAGUAACCGCAUAUCAGCAUGUUGCGGUGAAUACGUUCUCGGGCCUU